This is a long non-coding RNA of Oxyura jamaicensis (ruddy duck), 1807 nucleotides long. RefSeq lists it as uncharacterized. Lineage: Eukaryota; Metazoa; Chordata; Aves; Anseriformes; Anatidae. The transcript has 2 exons. The record is from RefSeq and is a predicted model, not a curated record.
ACUGCUUGGGCGCCGGUUUGGAAUUCUGACCCUUACAAAAUCCCUCUCCAUAUUUUAAAACAAGCAGAGCAGAAGAACAAUGGUUAAUAAAUAUCAAUCCACUGAGAUCAAAAGUUUCUGUGAAAGGCUGGGAGACGUGCAGCAGGGUGAAAGCCCUGCCUCGCUUCAUUAUUGAGAGCCAGGUGAAGACCCUGCACAGCCCAUCAGCGCGGCGGAGGGAGCUGACAGCCCCGCUGCCCCCGUGAUGGAUGGCGCCGCGUCCCGCCGCGCCGAGCGGGGGCUGCCGCCCGCUGCCCUGCCCCACGGGCGCGGGGUGCCGCGCUCCUCACACCGCCCGCCCUCCCCGGGGACGGCCAGGCAAACGCACAAUAAGCUCUGACACAAAUAGUGUUUAUAAAAUAUUGCUCCUCUGGGACCGCCUUGCCUGCAGUCGUCAGGAUGCUACUAGUUGCAAUAAAAUGGAACUGCUCUUUUACUCCUCACCACAAUUACUGCCGAUGUCUGUUCCUUGACAGAGCGGGGGCUUGCCGGACUGAGCUUUCUCUGAUGAGGAAGCUAACUGGGAAGAGAGCUGCUUUUACCUCCCUGCGCAAUGCCUGGCUUGCAUAAGCAGCCUAAUAAACCCUGCACAGUUCUGCGAGACCUUUCGGUGCAUACAGAGCAGCCCUGAGACCAGGUUGCGACAGCCAGAUAGAAAUGUUAGCUCUGCUCCAGAGGUCCGGGGGAUUUUAGAGUUGGGAUGAGACGCGAUCGCCUCGUUCCUUGCUCCCACACAUCUUAACGACCACAGGCGGGUUCGCACAAAGGAUGGGAACAUCGUCACCAGUUUCAGUUCAGCCCCCUUCUGCUGCGCCGCGUCCCCCCUGCAGAUCAGGCCCGUCCUGUGAUCCCGUGCUGGCAAUGUUUACCUACCUCUGAUAAUAAAUGCUGCGAGAGGAAAAGCAAAAAACAUCUGCGGGCCAGGAGAACGCCAAGCAAAUGGGAGUCCCGUCGCAGGAGCAGCCUGCUCCGAUUGCGGCAUAAUUCAUUUUACAAUGUAUAAGAAAAGUUGAGUUAUUGGGACAUGUGACAUUUAUUUAGUUACAUAUCUCCUGUGGGAGGUUUCUGGGGCCAUUAAUGUAGUGUAUUUGCAUGGCUAGUUUACAUGCCUUUGCUUGUUAUUGCUGUCUAUAUUCCAUGCACCUCACACUCAAUUUCAAUUCAAAGUUUGGCAGUUGAGGUGUCACGACUAAAAAAUGGAAUGGCCUCCCUCAGAAAUGAAAUAAUUUUGUUGUUCAGUUCCGAGCGAUUUUGUAAUUUCAUGCUUGUGUAUGAUAAUUUUAUGCUGUCCUGCUCCACGUAACUCAGCUCUGCCAAACCCUGACAGGUGAUAAAUACAAUCUUUUCCGCCCGGCAUGCGACAGGCCAGUAUGAGGAGAAGGGGAAAAAAAAGUGGCGAUUUCACAUCUGAGGUCUUAGCACAAGCGGAGCGACCGCAGGCCCAUUCCUUCAUAAUUUCACGCCUGGAUUCAGGCAGGCGCACCCCCUCUGCUGUGGCUGAAGGACCCAAGGGUCAAGGAAAGUGUCCUGGAAAUGGAAUAAUGCUGGAAAGGAGCCAGCCGAUGUUGUGUAUGAAGGGAGAAAGUUAUGACUUUGGUGUGUCCCCUUCCGAGGGCUCCUGGACGCGGUGCAUGAUUUAGAGCACAGCCUCUCUCUAAUGGAGUUCAAUAGAACCGUAACCUUUUGGAGAAAUUAUUUUUACAAAUCUGUUAAACAUUUGAAAGACAGCAAUUUCCAAUAAAAGAAUAUGAGUCCUUAACAUUUAUCA